Long non-coding RNA from Rhineura floridana, 408 nucleotides. RefSeq lists it as uncharacterized. The record is from RefSeq and is a predicted model, not a curated record. NCBI's taxonomy places the organism in Eukaryota, Metazoa, Chordata, Lepidosauria, Squamata, Rhineuridae. The transcript is spliced from 3 exons.
UAGUGAUCAAACAGACACCUAUGGAAAGCCCACAAGCAGGACACGAGAACAGUCUUCUGCUGUUGCUCCCCAGCAACCAGGCUUCAAUGCAUGUGGAUGGCUUGGUCUGCUUCCUUGAGAAAAAUGAGAGUGUUUUGUCCUUCAGUCACUUCUUUAGUGAUUCCUGUUAUUGUGUGAAUGAAGAGGAUAUGGACAUGAAUAAUCUUGCUUCUGUCCAGGAGGUUAAACAUGGAUGACUGUUCCACAGACCACAUAAUGUGAAAGCUCUAAUUCCAUUCAGUGAACUUCUGAACAAAGGCCACAGUAUACAUCAAUAUCAAUGCCAGCAAUCUACACUGGUUCUUGUGAAGUUUGCAGCACAGUUCCUAUGCACAUUUCCCACUAAGUGUAAUGGGACUUACUAUCAGG